GGAAUCUCUGACGAAGUGCCAACGACCGGUCGCGUAGAGGAAACAACCGGUCGCCAAGUAAUCUGCCUGGAAGCGAUCGGUCUCCCAGAAGAAGUGAUCGAUCACCAAGCAAUCUACCUGGAACAGACCGGUCGGUCCGACGGUGACGACCGGUCCCACGCCUCGAUGACUGAUGACUGCUAGGAAAUGGCCGGUCUCCCAGAAGAAGCGACCGAUCACCAAGUAAUCUGCCUGGAACCUAUCGGUCGCUCAGAAGGUAACGACUUGUAG
This 270-nucleotide long non-coding RNA is filed under the name Prunus persica (peach). RNAcentral describes it as "long non-coding RNA (PPER_LNC005547)". The record is from RNAcentral. Lineage: Eukaryota; Viridiplantae; Streptophyta; Magnoliopsida; Rosales; Rosaceae.